Long non-coding RNA from Zalophus californianus (California sea lion), 659 nucleotides. RefSeq lists it as uncharacterized. NCBI's taxonomy places the organism in Eukaryota, Metazoa, Chordata, Mammalia, Carnivora, Otariidae. The transcript has 12 exons. The record is from RefSeq and is a predicted model, not a curated record.
CAGGCUUCACAAAAUGAAGAUGGUAGAUGAUUACGCGUAGGGUGCGGCCUAAACUACUUGGGUUGUGGGGGCUGAACUGCGAAAAAUCCCUGGGCUCGCGUUCCCUGCCUGUGAUGAAGCUUGCGUUGGUAGGGACAUCUGAGACUGUUGAUGAAUGCCAACGGCUCUGAUGGCGGCGCGUGCAGAUCACCCAGUAAUUGUGCUGGGCACGAAUGCAAUGUGGCUUUUGAUGGCUUCUGAUGGACAGUUCUGUGCCAAAGGGGUGGAAGUGGCUGCCAAGGUCCUAAGUUUCACACCCUUGCUAUGGGCAAAGAGGCACUAAACAGGAGUAUCUGGAAGUUGAAGGGGUGGACUUGAGUCUUAACACAUGUCUGGACCGACCGUAUUUGGGCUUAUAGGCCACUAUCAUGGAUGGCUUGCUUGGGGUACUGAGUUUGAAGACAUUUUCAUAUAAAGGUGUGAAGAGUUUGGGGCACCUUACAAAGCCUGGAACAAGGAGUUCUAAGGCAGACUUGCCAACCUGAAGAUUUAGAGGGUGUUUAUGAGAGCAGCAAUCCAGUUAUGAGAGCAGCUUACCAGUUGAAAGGCACCUGAAUGGAUGCUUAUGUGAUGUGAUAGAUCAAAUUUCCAAUUUCAAUAAAUUUUUAUAAACCAUCUGA